Long non-coding RNA from Eriocheir sinensis (Chinese mitten crab), 1938 nucleotides. RefSeq lists it as uncharacterized. NCBI's taxonomy places the organism in Eukaryota, Metazoa, Arthropoda, Malacostraca, Decapoda, Varunidae. The record is from RefSeq and is a predicted model, not a curated record. The transcript has 4 exons.
UAACAGAGUGAGUAAGUGUAAGCGAGUGCAUGAAUGAACGAGAGAAUGUGAGUAAGUUGGUGAGUGACAGAGUGAGUAAGUGUGAGCGAGUGGGAGCGUGAAUGAGUGAAAGAGUGAAUGGGUGGCUGAGGAAUGUAAGUGCGUAAAAGGUUAUGAGAAGAUAACACGGCGAGCGAAUGAGCGAAUAUAUGAACGAGAGUUACUGAAAUCCCUCAUCUCAAAGCCUCGAACCCCUCCAAGAAACCAAUAACUAGUUAGUUAGUUAGGUAGGGUUUGAUUGUAAUGUCGAGAGGGAGUCACGUGAAGAAGGGGGAGGAGCUUAGCGAGGAGCAGAGGCGAGAAGGCGAGGGCAAGGAGACCCACGGGUCAGUGAGGAGACAAGCACCACUGCAGCAAGGCACAAGCUUGAGAGACGCGAGGAGACGAACACCCCAACAGCAAGGAAAGGCAGCGAGAAAACACCGAGAAGUGGGCUGGUCAGAGAGGUGUCCAUCUCUCCACUCAGCCCCCGACAUACACACCACCCACGGCCUGCUGUGUGAGGCGGGCUAGUCAGGAGACGAGCAGCAGGAAGCAAAGAAAGGCAGAAAAACCACCCACGGCCUGCGGUGUGAGACGGACUACAGGAUGGGAACUUUUAUGGCGGAGUAACCUGCCCCUCGACUGCCCUGGGGGCCGAAAUACCACUGCCCAAGCUGCUCCCUACAUCAAAGGGCGCCCGCCUCUUCACACCACCCGAGCCGCUCCAUCUCCACAUCAAGCGGCGCCCGUCUGUCCUUCACCAUCGUGGACGUCCCCUGCCGAGCCCGACACUCACGCCAGCUCCUGCUUCUCCGCCUCCAGCAACUAGAGGCAUGGAGCAGCUGCUUGGGUUGACGGUGUAUGGUAAUAGGCGCCGUGAUAACAUGAGAAUGGUUGGCGUGCAGCACUAAGAACAAUGUCUCAUCGGUCGGUAGCUAAACGCGGAAUCCUUGGGCACUGAUGUUUACUGGCACUUGAUGUUUGAACUGAAGACAGAUUAUCGCACACCUGGCAGCGUUGCUACACUGGUGCUGCUAUCAUGCGGGCACCCUCCGUAACUCCCCUGACGUCACCAUGAUUCCAUUCUGUUUGGCGUGCCCAGACGACACUGCUGCCCACUCACGUCAACGCGGGGAAUUAGUACAGUUAAAGUUGAACCCUCUCGAGUACUGUAGCCUGUAAAUACAGAAGUGAUGCCAUCCUGCACCACUAGUAUUAACGGUUCAAGAUGCAACAGUUAGAAUGGCCGAGCGGCGGCGUACUCGUUAUCGUUCUGGCAGACUUGAGAGGUGAACUGCCGCUCGAAGCCCACACGGCUAUAUCCUGCCCCGGCCAUAACUCCUCGCCAGUUAUGUGUUGUGGUGAAGGCUUCAGUUAAGAGUUACUGUGGGUAUGCAUGAUGAUAAUGAGGAGGUAUGAGGAAGGAAAUAAACGUAGUGAUGACGCAAUUGGUCGAGGUACUUAAAGCAUGUAUGAUGUUAAAGUUGAGGAGGGAAGUGGAAGAUGAUAGAUGUAAUGAUGAUGCAGGUGGUCGAGGUACUUAAAGCAUGUAUGAUGAUAAAGUUGAGGAGGGAAGUGGAAGAUGAUAGAUGUAAUGAUGAUGCAGGUGGUCGAGGUACUUUACACACUAUAAUCCUUGGCUGACUGACAUGACAACCUCCACAAGUCAAGACGGCACUCAUUCUUGAACACACCCAAACGGCAACACCCCACCACACCACACAGCCUCCCUCACCUCCUGUAAUGCCACGGAUCGCCUCGGCCUCGCGCUCAUCAUCCCUGGUCACGGUUCCCUGCAGGACACAACACAACGCAACACAUGCACAGCAACACUCCGCGACACACUUAAAAGUAAGCAUGGGUGAGAGAGGGAGACACAGGUGGUGACGGGAUUGUGAAGGUGGGCAGGAGCGACAG